CGACCGGCGCACGGGUGCGUAACGCGUAUGCAACCUACCUUUUACUGGGGGAUAGCCCGGAGAAAUUCGGAUUAACACCGCAUAAUAAGUUGAAGUGGCAUCACUUUAAUUUUAAAUAUUUAUAGGUAAGAGAUGGGCAUGCGUCCAAUUAGCUAGUUGGUGAGGUAAUGGCUCACCAAGGCGAUGAUUGGUAGGGGUUCUGAGAGGAAGGUCCCCCACACUGGUACUGAGAUACGGACCAG
This 242-nucleotide ribosomal RNA is filed under the name uncultured bacterium. RNAcentral's name for it is "partial 16S ribosomal RNA". It matches the Rfam family "Bacterial small subunit ribosomal RNA", at positions 92 to 334 of the family's 1533-position model. The record is from RNAcentral.